This 249-nucleotide ribosomal RNA is filed under the name uncultured bacterium. Its description in RNAcentral is "partial 16S ribosomal RNA". It matches the Rfam family "Bacterial small subunit ribosomal RNA", at positions 524 to 768 of the family's 1533-position model. The record is from RNAcentral.
UACGUAGGGGGCAAGCGUUGUUCGGAGUUACUGGGCGUAAAGCGCACGCAGGCGGUCUUUUAAGUUUGGAGUGACAGUUGGUGGCUUAACUGCCAAAGUAGCUUCGAAACUGAACAGACUUGAGGGCUUCAGAGGGACACGGAAUUCCGGGUGGAGUGGUGGAAAUGCGUAGAGAUCCGGAGGAACACCAAAGGCGAAAGGCAGAUGUCCUGGGGAGACCUGACGCUCAGGUGCGGAAAGCCAGGGGAG